GAAGUCGGAAUUGCUAGUAAUCGCGGAUCAGCAUGCCGCGGUGAAUACGUUCCCGGGCCCUUGUACACACCGCCCGUCACACCAUGGAAGUUGGUAACACCCGAAGCCUGUAGCCUAACCGCAAGGAGGGCGCAGUCGAAGGUGGGGAUUGAUGACUGGGGUGAAGUCGUAACAAGGUAUC
RNAcentral lists this ribosomal RNA (181 nucleotides) under uncultured bacterium. RNAcentral's name for it is "partial 16S ribosomal RNA". It matches the Rfam family "Bacterial small subunit ribosomal RNA", at positions 1322 to 1500 of the family's 1533-position model. The record is from RNAcentral.